Molecule: non-coding RNA, 24 nt
Filed under: Arabidopsis thaliana (thale cress)
Lineage: Eukaryota; Viridiplantae; Streptophyta; Magnoliopsida; Brassicales; Brassicaceae
Source: RNAcentral
AUAAACCCGUAAUUUUCCUGCUAA